RNAcentral lists this ribosomal RNA (253 nucleotides) under uncultured bacterium. RNAcentral's name for it is "partial 16S ribosomal RNA". It matches the Rfam family "Bacterial small subunit ribosomal RNA", at positions 524 to 776 of the family's 1533-position model. The record is from RNAcentral.
UACGUAGGGGGCAAGCGUUGUCCGGAUUUAUUGGGCGUAAAGCGCUCGCAGGUGGUCCGCUGCGUCGUGCGUGAAAGACCCCGGCUCAACUGGGGGAUGUCGUGCGAUACGGGCGGACUGGAGGCCAGUAGGGGGAUGCGGAAUUCCGGGUGUAGUGGUGGAAUGCGCAGAUAUCAGGAGGAACACCGGUGGCGAAGGCGGUUCUCUGGGCAUUACCUGACGCUGAGGAGCGAAAGUGUGGGGAGCGAACAGG